UUGAGAUAAGUUUCACAACCUAAGAAAGGCGCCUCACUCCUUGAGUUUCAUCGCCUCCCAAAAGAAUAUCAAGAUCAGGGUUCAUCGCCUUGCAAUUUUUGUAAGCUUACCUGAGAAAUCAGUGUCUGUGGUAAUUUCUAAUCCUGAUUUGUUGAAUUGCAUCUUAUUAUCAACUUCACCAUCAUGUCAAUAUAGUCAUUAGAAAUGGAUAAAUUAGAUACUGCUUGUGAUGAUGAAAUUGAUUGCUGUUUAGAUUGUGAUGUUGAAUUGUUUAGUCACUGUAAUAGUGUGAUUUACUUAUGGAUUUAUGAUUUUGGGGGUUGUAUGUUUCUUUAACCCAUCCACUGAAGAAUACAAAAAUACCUUAAUCACCUUAGGAAGAUUCCGAUUUGAAUGAUUCCCUACAAGAGAUGGGGUUUGUCUCCUGCGAGAAGUUCAAAGAGACAGAAGACCACUAUUGAUAGUGGUGGUGAAAACAGUAAUGAGAAUGAGAACGAGAUAAUCUUCAUUCUUGAAUGAGCAUAGAAUUUCUUUAAGGAUGGUGGUUGUUUGGUUCGCUUCUGAGAAGAAGAUGAUGGCAAUAAUGCUUGUUUGUGACUCAAAUGGGUUAUAUACUAUGCCGUAAAUCUUUUAAAGCAUUUGCUUAGCGGGUUUGUAAUCUCCAAAGGUUUGAUUAAGAGAAACUCCACAGAACUACUGUGGCAGCUGCUCAAGAUAUACUAAGAUUGUUCUAGUGGUGGUUGUCAGUGUUGGGUUAUACCAUGUGAUGCUGAGAGAACGCAAGUGGACAACAGGUUGGUGAAAACUUCGUGUUGAGCAUUUGAAGACGUCGCCUAUGAUGCGGAGGACAUUUCGUGACAAGAUUCAAAAUGAAAUGCGGAAGACAUUUCGGGAUGUUGCUUACGAUGCGAAUACUUGGAACCCAGUUGGACUCCAUCUCAAGAUGGCUCGUAAAAUCAAAGAUGUUAACCUGAUUUUGUUUCAAGAUGGCUAAGAAAAAUCUAGGAAUACAUUCACUAAAGAAUACAAAAAGGAGGAUGCAUGUUGCUGCAGAAUGCACCCCUUUUACAUAUAGGCAGUCAAGCACCCUUCCUUUUUCGCUAUCUAAAGUGAAAAAUGUAAUAGAGAAACCCCACAAUGAUCAUCUCCCUUUGCUCUUAUAUUCCAAUGUAAGAGCAAACCCCGCAAGUGACUUCAAUCAGGAUUCUCGUCUUUUACUUGUAUUCCUUCUUUGCGAGUUAAAUUACAAUCUUUAUUCUUUUUUCUUUCAAAUUUGGUCGUAAUCUGUCAACCAAUUCACUUGUUUCCUCCUUAUCAACAGAUUGUGUAACUGGGACAUCCUAUCGAAUGUACAACAAGUCAUUUGUUUUGCGUUUCAUGAGAGUCGCUUACUUAUGGAAACAUGUCAAGAGGCCAAGAACCUUAGAAAAAUUGUCACUUUGUUCUACUUAGAUUGAAGUCUCAACUUCGAGGUUUCAUCAUUUACAAUUGCGGAAAAGAGCAGUGAAAAUUAUUGUUAUUAAUUUGAGUAUUCAUAAAUGAAAUUUUUAUUGCCUUGAAGAUA
Long non-coding RNA from Papaver somniferum (opium poppy), 1564 nucleotides. RefSeq lists it as uncharacterized. The transcript has 3 exons. NCBI's taxonomy places the organism in Eukaryota, Viridiplantae, Streptophyta, Magnoliopsida, Ranunculales, Papaveraceae. The record is from RefSeq and is a predicted model, not a curated record.